RNAcentral lists this ribosomal RNA (429 nucleotides) under Bacteroidota bacterium. RNAcentral describes it as "Bacteroidetes bacterium partial 16S ribosomal RNA". It matches the Rfam family "Bacterial small subunit ribosomal RNA", at positions 355 to 776 of the family's 1533-position model. Lineage: Bacteria; Pseudomonadati; Bacteroidota. The record is from RNAcentral.
UAGGGAAUCUUCGGCAAUGGGGGGAACCCUGACCGAGCAACGCCGCGUGAGUGAAGAAGGUUUUCGGAUCGUAAAGCUCUGUUGUUAAGGAAGAACGAGUGUGAGAAUGGAAAGUUCAUGCUGUGACGGUACUUAACCAGAAAGGGACGGCUAACUACGUGCCAGCAGACGCGGUAAUACGUAGGUCCCGAGCGUUGUCCGGAUUUAUUGGGCGUAAAGCGAGCGCAGGCGGUUAGAAAAGUCUGAAGUGAAAGGCAGUGGCUCAACCAUUGUAGGCUUUGGAAACUGUUUAACUUGAGUGCGGAAGGGGAGAGUGGAAUUCCAUGUGUAUCGGUGAAAUGCGUAGAUAUAUGGAGGAACACCGGUGGCGAAAGCGGCUCUCUGGUCUGUAACUGACGCUGAGGCUCGAAAGCGUGGGGAGCGAACAGG